This is a non-coding RNA of Schistosoma mansoni, 45 nucleotides long. Lineage: Eukaryota; Metazoa; Platyhelminthes; Trematoda; Strigeidida; Schistosomatidae. The record is from Rfam.
AUCCAGCUGACGAGCCCAAAAUAGGACGAAACGCGUUUUCUGGAC